Molecule: long non-coding RNA, 1751 nt
Organism: Cyanistes caeruleus (blue tit)
Lineage: Eukaryota; Metazoa; Chordata; Aves; Passeriformes; Paridae
Source: Ensembl
AUGACAAAUAUGUUUUUUUACUCUUUCAGCCAUGAAAGCCAAGCAGAAAACACAGUACCAGCUACUUCCAGAUGGUUUUCCAGGAGAACAAGCACAGAUAUGGUUUGCCCUGAUGCAGAAAGGAGCAGUACCCCUGAUGAACGUUGCUGGUGUGAGUGCCUGUCUCUGCAGCACACCUGUGCUCCGGAGUUGGAGCUUGAAUCUGAUCUGCUCCCAGAGGAGCAGCCCGAGGACUGCCCAAAGCACUGGGAUGGUGCCUCCAUAGCAGCGUGUGUGGGAGAACAUGUGGGCUGCUGAAUCUUCAGGCAGAUGACAUGAUAUUUUAUUUCACUCUAUUUCUAGAAACCCCGAACCUUCGUUCCUGAGUGGUGUAUGGUGCAUUAGUGAUGGUGGGAGGUGGCAAAUGCAUGAUUCAGCGGUGCCUGGGUCUUUAUCCUUCAGUACAGACCCAGCACAAACAGGGGGAAGAGCUUCUAGCUGAGGGCUGGAAUGGGCUGUUUGGCUGUGAGGGCAGUCCUGAGGGAUGCCCCUGGGAGAGGGGUAUGUGCUCUGUCUCUGUCUUGUAAACCUGCCCUGCUUCCUAACACAUCACACUCCACCUAAUUUUAGGUAUGCUCUAGACCUUUAGUUUCUUAUGGAGCUUCCAUGGGAUCUUGUGGACUACCCUCAUUAUGAUUAACCUUAUUAGCCAGUUUCAGCCAGAAAGGGGCUUCAAAAAUAGCACUGAAAAAAAAAAAAAAAAAAAAAAAGUUGCGUGCAGGAGAAAAGAGAAAAGAGAAAAGAGAAAUUGUUCAGAGGAAAUUGUUCCCAGGAUUUCCUCUGAGAGUCACCAGUGCUGCAGCACAUGCCAGCUUGCAUGUUGUCACCAAAGUAUGCUUCUGGGGAGAGCUGUAAGGCAGGAAAAGCUGAAGGGUUAGGAGGGAAGAGCAAACCGUACUGUGAUUCACUUAGAAAGCCAGUUAACCCCAGGGCAAAAGGCCAGAGAGAACAUGGCUGGUCACCUCUGUUAUUCACUGGCUGCUCCAUCCUUGCUCUGGACUUGGCCCAGCCCCAGGCAGCUGGACAGCAUUGGCCAUGUAGGGUCAGGGACUGAGGUUAGGGACAGCUGAACAAACCCCGUGCUUCUGCACAAAGAGAUCUUCAUGCAAGGAGGAGAAGUCAUCAGCCAUGCCCAGGAUGUCCCCAGACAGCACACUGAAGUCCAUGAAUCACAAGUUGCUCUGCAAUCACAAGGCUGAGUCCUGUCCUUUUCCCCCAGUAUAAUCCUAUUAGAGAUCACAGGGUUACAACUCAUCGUGCAAAAAGAAUUUGACCUGUGCUUCCCCUCAGGCUGCCAGAUGAGGGCUAGUCCAUGGUGGGGGUUGUUGCUGUGCUGAGGGGAAGGCAAAGGAGGCAGGUGUUUGGGCAAGACAUUGUGUUUUCUUAGUUUUUAACUGCUAAUAAGCCAGCAGAGGAGCACAGCACAUUGAUUGAUUCAGUGUGUCUUGGGACUGGAAACACCCUCGUUUGCAGCUGCAGGAGCUGCUCAGCUCUGUUAGCUGGAAAAAAACCAGGACAUCAGCUGGAGAAGUGCAGCUUCUGCAUAUUUCCUUUCACAUAAAAUUAUAGUGGUGGGCUUACUCCGUGCUCCCUUAGUCUAGCUACAGCUUAAGUGCCUUAGACCCCCACCCUGGGAGAGGUUGAACCGGAGAUAAUACAAACAUUUAGUGGCACAGCAAUAAAAUUACACCCUAAGGUGUGAUGGCUCUUCA